This 172-nucleotide small nuclear RNA is filed under the name Zalophus californianus (California sea lion). RNAcentral describes it as "U2 spliceosomal RNA (ENSZCAG00015025015.1)". The stretch from base 1 to 140 matches the Rfam family "U2 spliceosomal RNA". From Rfam's summary of the family: U2 is a small nuclear RNA (snRNA) component of the spliceosome (involved in pre-mRNA splicing). Complementary binding between U2 snRNA (in an area lying towards the 5' end but 3' to hairpin I) and the branchpoint sequence (BPS) of the intron results the bulging out of an unpaired adenosine, on the BPS, which initiates a nucleophilic attack at the intronic 5' splice site, thus starting the first of two transesterification reactions that mediate splicing. The record is from RNAcentral. Lineage: Eukaryota; Metazoa; Chordata; Mammalia; Carnivora; Otariidae.
AUCGCUUCUCGGCCUUUUGGCUAAGAUCAAGUGUAUAAUCUCUGCCGUCCAGUUUCAAAAUAUAGGGAGUUAAAAUAAACCUGUGUUUUAAUAUGUUGUCUUGAAUACCACAGGCAUUGAUACACAUCUGUUCAUUCCUCUAGCUUCACUUUAGUGAUAGAGUAGCUUGAUG